UAGUGGAUUUAUCGGAGCAAUAGA
This 24-nucleotide non-coding RNA is filed under the name Arabidopsis thaliana (thale cress). Lineage: Eukaryota; Viridiplantae; Streptophyta; Magnoliopsida; Brassicales; Brassicaceae. The record is from RNAcentral.